UUCUUUAUAAUUAGAACCACACAUGAAGUCUCAGGAUUAAUAAAACAGAAACUCAUUUCCAGUUACAGGAGCAGUGAGCACGGGAAUAUCAUGGACAAUCAGAGCUUUGAACCGAAGACCAUGUGACGCACAUACUCCAGAGCUGAUGGUUUCUGCCUGUGCCCAAAGAGUACAGUUCUCCCUCAGCUGGUGAUACUGUGAAGUCCUUGAAGAAAACAAAUGUUGCCUGCUCACCGUGGAAUAUUCAACAAUUAAUUGGCUAGUUAAAUUAAAAUAAAUUUGAUUUUGAG
RNAcentral lists this long non-coding RNA (290 nucleotides) under Rattus norvegicus (Norway rat). RNAcentral's name for it is "long non-coding RNA NONRATT033709". Lineage: Eukaryota; Metazoa; Chordata; Mammalia; Rodentia; Muridae. The record is from RNAcentral.